This 31-nucleotide non-coding RNA is filed under the name Homo sapiens (human). The record is from RNAcentral. Lineage: Eukaryota; Metazoa; Chordata; Mammalia; Primates; Hominidae.
UGGUGAACACAGAGGAGCAGAAGCCCCAGGA